CGUCACGAGUCACGUGUCAAACCACGCCUCGGCACAGUGGCUCCAUACGUUUGCUUCAUGAGCUACAGCGCAUGUGUCGAAGCUUCCGGUAUCAGAGGACCAUCACUAUCUGGUAGCGUCUCUGGCUGCUGUUGACCUUGUUUUUGGUGUAAAACACGGUGGAAGCUGAAUUAGUGAGGAUGACUCCUGCUCCUGUCAUCUCUAAGCUCCUCACACAUCUUUACCUGCACAUGAGGAAAAUCACUCCUGUAGAAUGCAGAUGUUCAGAGGGAGAUGAUGCCACAUCUGGUCCAGCUGAUGGAAGGUCUUGAAGUUCUCUGACUGGCCUCGACUGAAGAUAGUCGUCUCACUGGAUUUAAGGUUCAGAUGCUCAGUAACAAACUCCACCAAUGAGCCAACAGGGAAGCUUUAGGUUUAUUAAAUGUUGCUAUGAAAGUUUCGCUGUUUUUCUUUGUGAAUGCAAUGUGCUCCAACUGAAACUUGAAUUAGAACUUAGAAGUAAAUCCUUCCAUCUGAAAGGAUUUAGUUGCAUUAAUAACCUCAUAACAUUCUAAUUUUUAUUCCAGUCUUAGUUGGAAAUAGAAUCUCUGUAUUGAUUCAGGUAAAAACUGAACUUCACAGCAUGUUGAAGCAAAACAACCAGAUGAAAACUGUGAUGGUGUUGGAUUGUCAGACCGUAUUGUUGCAGCUCAAAGCAGCUUUUCUAUCUCAGUUCAUUCUGACAUUCAGCUAUGAAUCAACACAGCAGAUGGUGAUCCAUGCUGUGGAAGUCUCACAUCUCCUGAUUUAAUGGAGCUGCUUUGCACUUUUUACACUGUUUAUUCACCAACACUUUAUUUAAUAAAAGUCCCAUCUAGUUUUUAUGAGGAAUGUGAUGUUUUAAUUUCUCUGUGAAUAACUGCAGUCUAAUGCAACAGCUGGAGUUGUAACAUCUGUCCUGAUAUUGAUCAUGAAGUAUUGAUCAGAAUACUUAUGGUUAGCAGUCAUCCCUGAAGUUUUACAUUAAAAUCUUUACUUGUGUUGUGAACUUUGGUAAGAAGCAGAAACGUUAGCGUUGCCAUGGAUACAUGAGUGUUAAAUUCUGUCCAUGUUUCCAUUUUGGGAAAUUCAGUCCAGUUCCAGAAUGUGGAGGAAUUUAGUCUCACAAUCACAGACAAUAAAUAUUAUCUGAAAGUCGGGUUAUUGUUGUUUAUCAGCACAAUAUAAAAAGAUUAAUGGUAGAAAUAUUCCAGUUAAGACUCUAGAAUAUCAUGAUUUAUGUAAAUUUACUUCAAUAAUAUGAAUGUUCAGGUUAAGAUUGUACAGUGAUAUUUAUUAUGUAAGUUUAGCUGAUUAAAGUUUAUGACUCUGCACUAAAACAUUAUUUAAAUUGACAUCAUUAUUAUAAUAUUUAGGGUCAGACCCUACAGUAUUGAGAUUAAGAAAUCAAAUAUUGUAUAAAAUGUAAAUACACUGAACUCAUUUGGAUAUAUUUAAGUGAGACUCUACAAUAGUAUUUGACACAAAUCUAUCUAAAUCAAAAUUUUAAUAAUUUUCACGCCAAACAUUUACUGGACUGAUUUAAACAUUAAAAUCACCCCUUUCUAAUCCUCUGCUGUACGUUCAAACCUGAGGCCUUAAAUAGAAACACACAAGUAUCUGAUUGAAGGAACUUCUGCAGAGUCCUGGUUCCAGAACAUGAUGAUAGAAUUAUAGACAAACUUUAACAAAAGCUGCCUGAGAGUUUACAGGUUUUUAUGUUGGAUUUCUUCAGUAAUUUAAUGAGAGUUAUCAGCAAUAAUCAAGUGUUCAUUUGAUGAACUUCAUUUCCUAAAACAUCCAGAAUUGGAGCUCAUAUCUUUGGCAGCUGUAAAGUUUCUGCUCCUUCAAAGUUCACAACACAAUGAAUGAAUUCCUAAAACACUCUCAAUGCUGGAGAGCGUUUGUGAUGCUGAAGCAGUGACCAGUUUUUCUGUUUCUUCUCUGGAGAUGCACAAUGAGGGACGUCUGCAGAGACUGAGAAAGAGUCUCACCACAUCCUGACAUGAGGAAAAAGACUUUAUUGAAGACUACAAUGAGAAAAACUAUCAGACAGCAGACAGCUGCAUUCAAGGUGAGCUCUGAACAUUUGAUCUGGAACAGGAAUUCAAUAACGGCAGCAUGAGCUUCAUUUCAGUCUGUAGCUGCUGAAUUCAUGGAUGAAUCAUCUGGCACUAGAGAAGAAGACCAUCAAACAUCCAUGUCAGCUGAUGGAGGUCCAAGAGUCUCACCAAACAAACAACCUACAGAGUGAAGACCUCAAAUCUGAUUGGACGGCCUCCUAUUCAGCCACGUGUGAACAAAUGCCUCUAAGCUGAUUUGUUUUCUAAAAUAAAUCUAGUUUGAGUCCUAAUCUAUGCCUGUGUGUUUGCUUCUUUACAUCGCUGUUAACAGUUUAGGCUAUUAGAUUGUUCCAGAUAAGACAAGUACAAGAUUCUUCAGAGCCGUUCUACUACGAGCCUGACAGGAAGAACUCCAACAGCUACUGAAUGUUCCUGUGGUUCCCUCAAGGCUACAGGAGGAGCCCUACGAGUACGAGCCGGUCCACCUGAUGGCGGCCAGUCGCUGUGGUUCAAAGCCAACACCGACUACGUGGACUUCUACUGGACCACACGGAGGCCUUCAAACCGGACCAACAAGUUCACCGACUCCCCGACUCGUGGGUCUGAGGACGCCGCCGAGCCUCGGUCCAGCCGGCCUCCUGUCUGUGGGUGUUUGAGUGCUGAGAGGUUUGUGGAUGCAUGUGAACGUGUCUGUGUUGAAACAGCAGCUUUUGACUCAGUAACGCUGGGAAAAACCAAGAGCUCCUUUAUUUGUGACUUCCACUAAAAAACUGAUGAAAAUAAGUUUGCCAGGGUUCUGACUGAUAACAGAUUAUUAAAUAAUGAAAAUAACUGUUUAAAUAUUCCUUUAAACAAUCCUUUUAGGUCUACAUUUCCUUUACACUGACUUCUUGGUAUUUUGGGUGGAAUAUAUCAUCAGACUAACCUCCAAGGUCUACAGUCGUGAAUUUUAUGUCGAAUGUACCAUUAAACUCACCUUUUAGGUCUACAUUGGAGGAUUUUAGGUGGAAUUCUCUUCCAAACUGUCUUUUAGUCUACAUUUAAGGAUGUUUAGGAUGGUAUAUUCUUCCGAACCAACUUCUCAGGUCUACAUUUCAGGUGGAAUAUUCCUCCAUACUAACUUUUUUGGUCUACACUGAAGGAUUUUUUCUAAACAACCCUUUCGGGUCUAUAUUUGAGGUUUUAGGUGGAAUAUUCCUUUUAACCAGCCCCUCAGGUCUCUUUGAGGAUUUUGGAUGGAAUACUCGGUUAAAGCAACAUUUUAGGUGCAUGUCCAAGGGUUUUUGGUAGAAUGUUCCUUUAAGGUGGAUGUUUGAGGACCUUGUAGGUGGAAUACUUCCUGAAACCAACCUUUUAGGUCAACAUUCAAAGAUUUAAGGUGGAAUAUUCCUUUAAACCAACCUAAAUUUCAUGUUUUGAUCGUUAUCAAGUGAGAAACCUCAAUCCAGACUCCUCAUAAUGACAUUUGAGAUUUAUGCUGCUGUUAUUUGUUUAGUCCAGACUAAAUGACAGAAAUCCACAACUGUAAUUUUAUUUCAGGACUCAGUUAUUAAAUUCAAUUCAAUUCAAUUUUAUUUAUAUAGCGCCAAUUACAGUCAAAUUGUCUCGAGACGCUUUACAGAACCAAUAUGCCUGACCUCCAGAGCAAGCCAAAAGGUGACAGUGGCAAGGAAAACACCCUUUUAACAGGGAAAAAAACCUCGAGCAGAACCCGGCUCUAAUGUGGGGGGACCCAUCUGCCUGCUGACCGGGCGGGUUGAGAGGGACAGAAGAGGUAGAGGGGAAGACAAAACAAUCCAUGUGACUCUAAAAACUAAACAGCUGUACAAACUCUAAGAUUAAACUCUCCACAAGGAGCCAAAAUAAGUUGGACUUCUACAUGAGAGCUUUAAUUAUUCUUCAUCUACUUCCUGAAAAAUUUGGUCAAUAAAAAAGGCAAAAACUAAUAUUUUCAGCUGAACGAAAGACAGACUGUGAUUUUUCUGCUCACAUGUGUUGUUGUAAACUUGCUCUUUCAAAUAAAUAGCCGCCUAACCCCCUGGAAACCAGCGUUUGUCCUGUUUUUGUGUUGCUCCUCAGUGACCCUAGACAGCCGGGUCGUAAUGUUUUUUGAGCAACACACCAUACUAUGACGUUUUUACAAUGAUGGUUCUACUAUGAAACCAGUUUGACAUGUUCAGG
Molecule: long non-coding RNA, 4262 nt
Organism: Amphiprion ocellaris (clown anemonefish)
Lineage: Eukaryota; Metazoa; Chordata; Actinopteri; Pomacentridae
Source: Ensembl